Trichomycterus rosablanca is the source of this 2774-nucleotide long non-coding RNA. RefSeq lists it as uncharacterized. The record is from RefSeq and is a predicted model, not a curated record. The transcript is spliced from 3 exons. Lineage: Eukaryota; Metazoa; Chordata; Actinopteri; Siluriformes; Trichomycteridae.
CACCUUUCUAUCAGAACCAGCAUUAACUUCUACAGCAGUUUGAGCUACAGUACCUCGUCUGUUGGAUCGUACCACACGGGCCAGCCUUCCCUCCCCACGUGUAUCAAUAGGCCUUGGCCGCCCAUGACCCUGUCGCCGGUUUACCACUGUUCCUUUCUUGGACCACUUUUAAUAGAUAUUGACUAUCACUGCAGACCAGGAACACCCCACAAGAGCAGCAGUUUUGGAGAUGCUCUGACCCAGUCGUCUAGCCAUCACAAUUUGGCCCUUGUCAAACUCACUCAAAUCCUUACGCUCGCCCAUUUUGAAGAUAAAAUGUUCACUUGGUGUCUAAUAUAUCCCACCCACUAACAGGUGCCGUGAUGAAGAGAUAAUCAGUGUUAUUCACUUCACCUGUCAGUGGUCAUAAUGUUAUGCCAGGUCGGUGUGUAUUUGUCUGACACAUGGUCCUUUCGAUGUAUGCCCAGUCCACCAAUCCCUUCUUAUAUACCCAUACUUCGGCCUCGGGUACGGAGAGCCACGCCCUGAUCUCUGUGCUCCUCCAAGGUCCUUACACAGCAUUGAUAACCCCACCUUUUUAGUCCAGUCUUUUCCCACCCAGCAGUCUUUUGUCUACUACAGGCAUUUCCAACUGUGUCCAUUAGGGGGCGCCCAGCCAACUCUGCGCUUUUCCACUUCUGUACAGGCACCCAAGGUCCUUACACGGCGUUGAUAACCCCACCUUUUAUUACUCAAGUCUUUUCCAACCCAGAAGACAUUUACAGGCAUUUCCAAUUGCAUCCACUAGAGGGCGUACCCAGCCGACCGGUAGCACAGCCGAGAUCCAAACUCAGGGAGCUCAGAAUCCCAGGACUGAUGUGCUAGCCAGCCAAUGGCGUCCAAGAAGGGUGUAUAUUCGCCUGACACACCCUCCCUCCGACGCAUACACAGUGUAUUUGAAGACCCCCUCCCCUUAGUCCAGUCUUUUCCCACACAGCAGACUGGUGGGCAAUUUUGUCAGCUACAGGCAUUUCCAAUUGCAUCCACUAGAUGGCGUACCCAGCCGACCGGUAGGAGAGCCGAGAUUCGAACUCAGGGAGCUGAUGUGCUAGCAUAAUAUCCCGCCACACCACCUGGGCGGCCCUAAAACGAAUGCUUUUUAAGCCAUAUUUUAAACAUAUUUAGCUUCCCAUUGGCGUUCCAGUUGACGGCACACCUCAACAUACUUGUGCGUUUAAACAGGGUGACCAUAUGUCCUCUUUUUCCCGGACAUGUCCUCUUUUUUGGACCUAAAAAUGUCCAGGAGUCUGCUUUUGUAGUGUAUUCGGUGCCACCACUUACAUGACAUGACUUUGCCAAUCCUCCCCGCCCCAUUCCCACCAAACCUUUCAACCCAGUGAAGGUGUCCAUCUGGGCUAUGCUGCCAUCCUGCCAAGUGGCCAAUUUUUAGAAAACCAAAAUACGGUCAUACUAAUUUGAACAUGGUUGACAAGUUGGCAAGUGUGUUAAUUGGUCGAAUAUCGCCUGGCACCCUGUUUUAUUUUUGUCUUGUGUUGUGCAGAACUUGGUGUUGCCAAAGACACCACAACAAUCAUCCUGACUUAAAAUCACUGAACGCUUUACUCUGUAUUAAUGUAUCAUCAAAUGAAACUAUACCUUUGGAACAUUUACUCCACCCCAGACCAACCGAGCAACAUAAACAAGACAAGCAUCCAUGGAACUUAAAAACAUUCCUGCUUUGGAAUGACAAGCUGGAAAAACCUGAAUGCACGCCCUGAGAAACUCGCCAACCCAGAGCUCAUCAAGGGUUCUGCCCUGCGAUUAAAAUAGAACCGCUGCCCUAAAGACCAGCUCUGUCAGCAAACACAGAGAAGACAGGUACAUCUGGACUGAAGAUGAUAUAAGGAGUCUAUAUCUGUGGAUCUUAAAGCGAGAACUAAGACAGCAAAGAAACUCAAAGCAAAAAAGGUCUGAGCCCUGAGCCUGGACUUUAGCCAUGGAGGAAGAUUACAUCCAUAAGGCCCACCCUGAUGUCAUCAGGCAGCAGCACAAGACCAACGUGGACGCCGGCUAUUCCGAAAAGAGACAGACAGAAUCCAGGUCCAACGGCUGUAUGCAGUGCUGCAUGAAGACCAAGAGAUGCGUGAUGAGCCCAGAAUGCGGCCGGGCGCUCAGCAUCGCUAAUGUCAUCGCCAUGUGUGGCAUGUGUAUCCGCAUGUGGACAUAAAUGCUGAAUCACGGCCGAAUCUCAAAACUUUCCGUCUCCUGGGUGGCUGUGACCCAAAACCGAGAACAAAAGAAGAACUUCAUGGUUAUGGAAUCUAAGUCAAUAAUAAUCGGGCGGUACCACACCUUUGUAUCAGGCUACACCCUGUGUUAAUCAUUGCUAAAAUGUACAGUGUCUUUUAUUGUGUAUUUUGUAAGUGUCCCUGAACUUAUGGUACAUGGUAAUUUCCUUUACAAGUCUUUCCAAGAUACUAUAUGGUUUAUUUAUUAUUUUGUUUUUAUUUUUGUUAAAUGCAUCACCACUUAAAACCUAAUUGUAAAAUGUUCUAUUUAUUCAGUGUAAACUUUACCUUGUUUAACUCAUCUGUUUAACUUUGAGUAAAUCACAGUCAGUAAACACAUGAUUGAAUAGUGUUUGAGUCCUGUUAGCUAACCUACUGUGCUACAUACAUUUAAUAACCAACAGAACAUCACAGUAAUGUAAGUCAGUUAGUAUACACACACACGCACACACGCACACACACACACACACACACACACACACACACACACACACACGCACACACACA